GUGAAUCAUCGAAUCUUUGAACGCACCUUGUGCCCUUUGGACAUCCAAGGGGCAUGCCUGUUUGAGUGUCUUGAAGCCCUCAAGCCAGCCCAGCUUUGUUUUGAGGUGGUGGUGGUUUGGACUUGGAUGCUUUUGCUGGACUUGUUAAACAAGGGUCAGCUCAUCCAAAAUGCAUUUGCCGCUGGUCCGUGAACUUGGUGUGAUUAAAUCAUCACUCGCCAGGUGUAAUGGACUUUGAAAAGCCGCUCUGUGGACGCAAGUGAUUUGACCUCAAAUCAGGUAGGAUUACCCGCUGAACUUAAGCAUAUCAAUAAGCGGAGGA
RNAcentral lists this unclassified non-coding RNA (322 nucleotides) under Agaricales sp. Its description in RNAcentral is "partial contains 5.8S ribosomal RNA, internal transcribed spacer 2, and large subunit ribosomal RNA". The stretch from base 1 to 71 matches the Rfam family "5.8S ribosomal RNA", at positions 84 to 154 of the family's 154-position model. The record is from RNAcentral. Lineage: Eukaryota; Fungi; Basidiomycota; Agaricomycetes; Agaricales.